Homo sapiens (human) is the source of this 80-nucleotide microRNA precursor. The record is from Ensembl. NCBI's taxonomy places the organism in Eukaryota, Metazoa, Chordata, Mammalia, Primates, Hominidae.
GACCUAGGCUAGGGGUUCUUAGCAUAGGAGGUCUUCCCAUGCUAAGAAGUCCUCCCAUGCCAAGAACUCCCAGACUAGGA